This 125-nucleotide microRNA precursor is filed under the name Haemonchus contortus (barber pole worm). Its description in RNAcentral is "microRNA hco-mir-5960 precursor". The stretch from base 22 to 96 matches the Rfam family "Nematode sRNA ceN72-3_ceN74-2". Lineage: Eukaryota; Metazoa; Nematoda; Chromadorea; Rhabditida; Trichostrongylidae. The record is from miRBase by way of RNAcentral.
AUGCUGAUGACGUAUACUUCUUGUGUGGUCCGGAGUCGGAGGGUUAUCUGUUGAUCCCCUCGGGGAAUUUCCCUUCGGCACAAACUCGACCGACAUAUGUUUUGCAUUUUUCACCGUUUUUUUGC